Molecule: ribosomal RNA, 2810 nt
Filed under: human gut metagenome
Description: bacterial LSU rRNA
Rfam family: Bacterial large subunit ribosomal RNA
Source: RNAcentral
AGGGCGUAUGGGGAAUGCCUAGGCACACUCCGGCGAAGAAGGACGCAGCAAACAGCGAAAUGCGACGGUGAGCGGUAAGCACGUGAAGAGCCGUCGAUAUCCGAAUGGGGGAACCCACACGGAGUCAUAUCCGUGUAUCACAUGUCGAAUACAUAGACAUGAUGAGGCGAGACGCAGGGAACUGAAACAUCUAAGUACCUGCAGGAAGAGAAAAUAAGAAUGAUUUUCUGAGUAGCGGCGAGCGAAAGGGAAAGAGCCCAAACCGAUUUUAGGAUCGGGGUAGUAGGAUCAUCGAUAAAUCAAACAGAGGAUCAUAGAGGAAUCACAUGGGAAGGUGAGCGAGAGAGGGUGAGAGCCCCGUACUCGAAAUGAGAGACUGGAGAGAGAUGACACCUGAGUAGGGCGGGACACGAGAAAUCCUGUCUGAAUCAGCCGGGACCAUCCGGCAAGGCUAAAUACGAGAGAGUGACCGAUAGUGAACCAGUACCGUGAGGGAAAGGCGAAAAGAACCCCGGCGAGGGGAGUGAAAAAGAACCUGAAACCGUGUACGUACAAGCAGUGGGAGCCUCUUAAUGGGGUGACUGCGUACCUUUUGUAUAAUGGGUCAGCGACUUAUAUUCUGUAGCAAGGUUAACCGAAUAGGGGAGCCGAAGGGAAACCGAGUCUUAACUGGGCGUUAAGUUGCAGGGUAUAGACCCGAAACCCGGUGAUCUAGCCAUGGGCAGGUUGAAGGUUGGGUAACACUAACUGGAGGACCGAACCGACUAAUGUUGAAAAAUUAGCGGAUGACUUGUGGCUGGGGGUGAAAGGCCAAUCAAACCGGGAGAUAGCUGGUUCUCCCCGAAAGCUAUUUAGGUAGCGCCUCGUGAAUUCAUCUCCGGGGGUAGAGCACUGUUUCGGCAAGGGGGUCAUCCCGACUUACCAACCCGAUGCAAACUGCGAAUACCGGAGAAUGUUAUCACGGGAGACACACGGCGGGUGCUAACGUCCGUCGUGAAGAGGGAAACAACCCAGACCGCCAGCUAAGGUCCCAAAGUCAUGGUUAAGUGGGAAACGAUGUGGGAAGGCCCAGACAGCCAGGAUGUUGGCUUAGAAGCAGCCAUCAUUUAAAGAAAGCGUAAUAGCUCACUGGUCGAGUCGGCCUGCGCGGAAGAUGUAACGGGGCUAAACCAUGCACCGAAGCUGCGGCAGCGACACUAUGUGUUGUUGGGUAGGGGAGCGUUCUGUAAGCCUGCGAAGGUGUACUGUGAGGUAUGCUGGAGGUAUCAGAAGUGCGAAUGCUGACAUAAGUAACGAUAAAGCGGGUGAAAAGCCCGCUCGCCGGAAGACCAAGGGUUCCUGUCCAACGUUAAUCGGGGCAGGGUGAGUCGACCCCUAAGGCGAGGCCGAAAGGCGUAGUCGAUGGGAAACAGGUUAAUAUUCCUGUACUUGGUGUUACUGCGAAGGGGGGACGGAGAAGGCUAUGUUGGCCGGGCGACGGUUGUCCCGGUUUAAGCGUGUAGGCUGGUUUUCCAGGCAAAUCCGGAAAAUCAAGGCUGAGGCGUGAUGACGAGGCACUACGGUGCUGAAGCAACAAAUGCCCUGCUUCCAGGAAAAGCCUCUAAGCAUCAGGUAACAUCAAAUCGUACCCCAAACCGACACAGGUGGUCAGGUAGAGAAUACCAAGGCGCUUGAGAGAACUCGGGUGAAGGAACUAGGCAAAAUGGUGCCGUAACUUCGGGAGAAGGCACGCUGAUAUGUAGGUGAAGUCCCUCGCGGAUGGAGCUGAAAUCAGUCGAAGAUACCAGCUGGCUGCAACUGUUUAUUAAAAACACAGCACUGUGCAAACACGAAAGUGGACGUAUACGGUGUGACGCCUGCCCGGUGCCGGAAGGUUAAUUGAUGGGGUUAGCGCAAGCGAAGCUCUUGAUCGAAGCCCCGGUAAACGGCGGCCGUAACUAUAACGGUCCUAAGGUAGCGAAAUUCCUUGUCGGGUAAGUUCCGACCUGCACGAAUGGCGUAAUGAUGGCCAGGCUGUCUCCACCCGAGACUCAGUGAAAUUGAACUCGCUGUGAAGAUGCAGUGUACCCGCGGCAAGACGGAAAGACCCCGUGAACCUUUACUAUAGCUUGACACUGAACAUUGAGCCUUGAUGUGUAGGAUAGGUGGGAGGCUUUGAAGUGUGGACGCCAGUCUGCAUGGAGCCGACCUUGAAAUACCACCCUUUAAUGUUUGAUGUUCUAACGUUGGCCCCUGAUCGGGGUUGCGGACAGUGUCUGGUGGGUAGUUUGACUGGGGCGGUCUCCUCCUAAAGAGUAACGGAGGAGCACGAAGGUUGGCUAAUCCUGGUCGGACAUCAGGAGGUUAGUGCAAUGGCAUAAGCCAGCUUGACUGCGAGCGUGACGGCGCGAGCAGGUGCGAAAGCAGGUCAUAGUGAUCCGGUGGUUCUGAAUGGAAGGGCCAUCGCUCAACGGAUAAAAGGUACUCCGGGGAUAACAGGCUGAUACCGCCCAAGAGUUCAUAUCGACGGCGGUGUUUGGCACCUCGAUGUCGGCUCAUCACAUCCUGGGGCUGAAGUAGGUCCCAAGGGUAUGGCUGUUCGCCAUUUAAAGUGGUACGCGAGCUGGGUUUAGAACGUCGUGAGACAGUUCGGUCCCUAUCUGCCGUGGGCGCUGGAGAACUGAGGGGGGCUGCUCCUAGUACGAGAGGACCGGAGUGGACGCAUCACUGGUGUUCGGGUUGUCAUGCCAAUGGCACUGCCCGGUAGCUAAAUGCGGAAGAGAUAAGUGCUGAAAGCAUCUAAGCACGAAACUUGCCCCGAGAUGAGUUCU